GACGAACGCUGGCGGCGUGCCUAAUACAUGCAAGUAGAACGCUGAAGAGAGGAGCUUGCUCUUCUUGGAUGAGUUGCGAACGGGUGAGUAACGCGUAGGUAACCUGCCUUGUAGCGGGGGAUAACUAUUGGAAACGAUAGCUAAUACCGCAUAACAAUGGAUGACACAUGUCAUUUAUUUGAAAGGGGCAAUUGCUCCACUACAAGAUGGACCUGCGUUGUAUUAGCUAGUAGGUGAGGUAACGGCUCACCUAGGCGACGAUACAUAGCCGACCUGAGAGGGUGAUCGGCCACACUGGGACUGAGACACGGCCCAGACUCCUACGGGAGGCAGCAGUAGGGAAUCUUCGGCAAUGGGGGCAACCCUGACCGAGCAACGCCGCGUGAGUGAAGAAGGUUUUCGGAUCGUAAAGCUCUGUUGUAAGUCAAGAACGAGUGUGAGAGUGGAAAGUUCACACUGUGACGGUAGCUUACCAGAAAGGGACGGCUAACUACGUGCCAGCAGCCGCGGUAAUACGUAGGUCCCGAGCGUUGUCCGGAUUUAUUGGGCGUAAAGCGAGCGCAGGCGGUUUGAUAAGUCUGAAGUUAAAGGCUGUGGCUCAACCAUAGUUCGCUUUGGAAACUGUCAAACUUGAGUGCAGAAGGGGAGAGUGGAAUUCCAUGUGUAGCGGUGAAAUGCGUAGAUAUAUGGAGGAACACCGGUGGCGAAAGCGGCUCUCUGGUCUGUAACUGACGCUGAGGCUCGAAAGCGUGGGGGGCGAACAGGAUUAGAUACCCUGGUAGUCCACGCCGUAAACGAUGAGUGCUUGGUGUUGGAUCCUUUCCGGGAUUCAGUGCCGCAGCUAACGCAUUAAGCACUCCGCCUGGGGAGUACGACCGCAAGGUUGAAACUCAAAGGAAUUGACGGGGGCCCGCACAAGCGGUGGAGCAUGUGGUUUAAUUCGAAGCAACGCGAAGAACCUUACCAGGUCUUGACAUCCCGAUGCUAUUUCUAGAGAUAGAAAGUUACUUCGGUACAUCGGUGACAGGUGGUGCAUGGUUGUCGUCAGCUCGUGUCGCGAGAUGUUGGGUUAAGUCCCGCAACGAGCGCAACCCCUAUUGUUAGUUGCCAUCAUUCAGUUGGGCACUCUAGCGAGACUGCCGGUAAUAAACCGGAGGAAGGUGGGGAUGACGUCAAAUCAUCAUGCCCCUUAUGACCUGGGCUACACACGUGCUACAAUGGUUGGUACAACGAGUUGCGAGUCGGUGACGGCAAGCUAAUCUCUUAAAGCCAAUCUCAGUUCGGAUUGUAGGCUGCAACUCGCCUACAUGAAGUCGGAAUCGCUAGUAAUCGCGGAUCAGCACGCCGCGGUGAAUACGUUCCCGGGCCU
Molecule: ribosomal RNA, 1369 nt
Filed under: uncultured bacterium
Lineage: Bacteria
Description: bacterial SSU rRNA
Rfam family: Bacterial small subunit ribosomal RNA
Source: RNAcentral